GCGCAGCAGUCGCGAAACUUUACAAUGUGCGAAAGCACGAUAAGGGAACUCUGAGUGCCUCCUAAGGAGGCUGUUCUGAUGUCUAAAAGCAACAGAAGUAAGGGCUGGGUAAGACCGGUGCCAGCCGCCGCGGUAACACCGGCAGCCCAAGUGGUAGCCACGUUUAUUGGGUCUAAAGCGUUCGUAGCCGGCCAGGUAAGUUCCUUGGUAAAUUUAGCCGCUUAACGGUUAAGCUUUCAGGGAAUACUGCUUGGCUUGGGACUGGGAGAGGUCAGAGGUACUCCGGGGGUAGGGUGAAAUCUAUUAAUCCCUGGGGGACCACCGGUAGCGAAGGCGUCUGACCAGACCAGGUCCGACGGUGAGGGACGAAGGCUAGGGGCGCGAACCGGAUUAGAUACCCCCGUAGU
This 407-nucleotide ribosomal RNA is filed under the name uncultured microorganism. RNAcentral describes it as "bacterial SSU rRNA". It matches the Rfam family "Archaeal small subunit ribosomal RNA", at positions 330 to 745 of the family's 1478-position model. The record is from RNAcentral.